RNAcentral lists this ribosomal RNA (446 nucleotides) under uncultured bacterium. Its description in RNAcentral is "partial 16S ribosomal RNA". It matches the Rfam family "Bacterial small subunit ribosomal RNA", at positions 338 to 795 of the family's 1533-position model. The record is from RNAcentral.
CCUACGGGUGGCAGCAGUAGGGAAUUUUCGGCAAUGGGCGGAACCCUGACCGAGCAACGCCGCGUGAACGAAGAAGUUAUUCGUAUUGUAAAGUUCUGUUAACAGGGAAGAAUGAGGAAUUUGACGGUACCUGAAGAAUAAGCUCCGGCAAACUACGUGCCAGCAGCCACGUUAGUCCGUAGGGCGAGGGGGUUACCCGGAAUUAUUGGGCGUAACGGGUGCGUAGAGGGCAUAGUAAGUCUUUGGUAAAAAGGCAGGGCUAAACCAAGUAGGGGAAAAGAUACUGGCAGGCUAGAGUAUGAAAGAGGAAAGUGGAACUACAUGUGUAGCGGUAAAAUGCGUAGAUAUAUGUAGGAACACCAGUGGCGAAGGCGACGUGCUGGGUAGAUACUGACAUUGAGGCACGAAAGCGUGGGGAGCAAAUAGGAUUAGAUACCCGGGUAGUC